This 523-nucleotide ribosomal RNA is filed under the name uncultured bacterium. RNAcentral describes it as "partial 16S ribosomal RNA". It matches the Rfam family "Bacterial small subunit ribosomal RNA", at positions 28 to 523 of the family's 1533-position model. The record is from RNAcentral.
GACGAACGCUGGCGGCGUGCCUAAUACAUGCAAGUCGAACGCUUUUUCUUUCACCGGAGCUUGCUCCACCGAAAGAAAAAGAGUGGCGAACGGGUGAGUAACACGUGGGUAACCUGCCCAUCAGAAGGGAAUAACACUUGGAAACAGGUGCUAAUACCGUAUAACACUAUUUUCCUCAUGGAAGAAAGUUGAAAGGCGCUUUUGCGUCACUGAUGGAUGGACCCGGGGUGCAUUAGCUAGUUGGUGAGGUAACGGCUCACCAAGGCAACGAUGCAUAGCCGACCUGAGAGGGUGAUCGGCCACACUGGGACUGAGACACGGCCCAGACUCCUACGGGAGGCAGCAGUAGGGAAUCUUCGGCAAUGGACGAAAGUCUGACCGAGCAACGCCGCGUGAGUGAAGAAGGUUUUCGGAUCGUAAAACUCUGUUGUUAGAGAAGAACAAGGAUGAGAGUAAAAUGUUCAUCCCUUGACGGUAUCUAACCAGAAAGCCACGGCUAACUACGUGCCAGCAGCCGCCGUAA